UAAAAUUAAUAAAUCAUUCUAUUAAAGUGAUAAGAAAAUAGAAAAGUUUAAAAAAGAUAUUUUAAAGACAAAUCAGUAAAUUUAAAUUGAAAUAGUGACAAAUAUUAAAUGCGACCCUUAUCCAUGAUGUUUGAGGUUAAACUCGUUUAAGCUUAAACUUUCGAGAAGUGUCUCGUUAAAACUUCUCAUAAGUGUAUAACUGCAUAACUGACGACUUAAAGUCAUUUUGAAAUUGAUUCUCAAUUCUGUGAAAAAAUCGUCCUGUUUUUCUCACUCAAAUCGUAAAUUAAAUUGCCUUCCUCAACACCAAGUCAUUCGUUCUGAAACGAGGGGAUAAGUUUUAAGUGAAUGGAUUCGAAUCAAAAAUAGUGAAUGUGUAUAUAGAAAGAUCAUAGUUAAGAGAAGUUAUAUCUUAUUAAGAAUUAUACCCAUUCGCGAUAGGCACACAGCGAAUAAAUAUCAUAUCACUCAACGAUCAAUUUCCUACAAUGAAUGUAACAAUUUAGAAUGAAAUACCGGACUAAGCAUGUGUUUCCUCGCCUUUCCUAAUAUUCGCCCGCUAAUUAGCGCAAUAUCACGCGCCCAUUAUUCACAAGAGAAGCUCUGUUGCGAAUCCAUCAUGACUAUUGGGCCUUGACCUGGAUGAACGCUUAAUGAUUGUUGCCAGAAUGCAAGAUCCCCUUGCGAUUUUGUAUGUGCGCGAUCUUAAUGGACGAUAUGGUGAAAAUUUGAUGAGGAAAACCGAAUGGAAAAAGAAAGUUUCGGAUUCUCGGAUAAAUAAAUUAAACACGUUUCAGUACGGAUGUGCAAACUGUGGUUUCUAAUUACAGCUUGUUAAAAAGUUUUCUCUCUCUUGUAAUUUGGCAACUGAGUGGAGCAACGUGUUGAGUAA
Long non-coding RNA from Apis florea (little honeybee), 892 nucleotides. The record is from RefSeq and is a predicted model, not a curated record. NCBI's taxonomy places the organism in Eukaryota, Metazoa, Arthropoda, Insecta, Hymenoptera, Apidae.